CCUACGGGUGGCAGCAGUGGGGAAUAUUGGACAAUGGGCGAAAGCCUGAUCCAGCCAUGCCGCGUGUGUGAAGAAGGCCUUCGGGUUGUAAAGCACUUUCAGUGGGGAAGAAAGCCUUGGGGCUAAUACCCUCGAGGAAGGACAUCACCCACAGAAGAAGCACCGGCUAACUCCGUGCCAGCAGCCGCGGUAAUACGGAGGGUGCGAGCGUUAAUCGGAAUUACUGGGCGUAAAGCGCGCGUAGGCGGUCUGAUAAGCCGGUUGUGAAAGCCCCGGGCUCAACCUGGGAACGGCAUCCGGAACUGUCAGGCUAGAGGGCAGGAGAGGAAGGUAGAAGUCCCGGUGUAGCGGUGAAAUGCGUAGAGAUGGGGAGGAAUACCAGUGGCGAAGGCGGCCUUCUGGACUGACACUGACGCUGAGGUGCGAAAGCGUGGGUAGCAAACAGGAUUAGAUACCCUAGUAGUC
This 465-nucleotide ribosomal RNA is filed under the name Vreelandella stevensii. RNAcentral describes it as "partial 16S ribosomal RNA". It matches the Rfam family "Bacterial small subunit ribosomal RNA", at positions 338 to 795 of the family's 1533-position model. Lineage: Bacteria; Pseudomonadati; Pseudomonadota; Gammaproteobacteria; Oceanospirillales; Halomonadaceae. The record is from RNAcentral.